Molecule: long non-coding RNA, 3746 nt
Filed under: Nicotiana tabacum (common tobacco)
Lineage: Eukaryota; Viridiplantae; Streptophyta; Magnoliopsida; Solanales; Solanaceae
Description: long non-coding RNA (NTAB_LNC009820)
Source: RNAcentral
UUGAAUAAAAUUUUAUACGAGCAUCCAGCAAACUAGCUGUAUAAAUAAACAUAUGAGUGAAACCUUUUCCUACUUUUAGUGCUUCACUUCUUUGCUUUUGCAAAUCUCAGACAACGAUACUUCUCCCCACUAACUGUUAUUUCAAGAGCUCCAUCUUGGUUAUCUUGAUUUGAUGCAGUCCCCAUUAGCACACUUUUCUCUUUCUCAAGGUUUUCCCUCUCCAUCUUUAACCGGGCUUCUUGCCGAGCAAUUUCUGCCUGGGAUCAAAACUGAGGCAUGUUACAAAUCCUCAAGGGAACAUCAUUUAUCAGAAAGGUAGAAAUUUUAGAUACUACAGCUCAUAUUUGCAACUGUUACAAAAGCUAAAACAACACAAGACUGACCAUAUAUUUCCUUCUUCGACUAAUGUAUGUUUCUGCACUGAACUUUAAACUCAUAUAAAUAGAUAGACCACCUUUCUAGGGAACUUGGAGCCUCUAAUUCCAUAUUUGAGAUCUAUAGGUGACACAGGGCAAGUAAAAAUAACUAUUGUCGGAACAGCUUACCAGUAGAAGUAGUAAGCAAAAUGUAAUAGUUAUCUUAAUUGCGAAAACGUCAGCAUUUACACAUCUCUCAGUUCCCGUUAUUCCAAAAAUAAUCUAUUAUUGCUAUAUUUGGAAGUCAAUAGUUGGCAAAAGCUACAUGACAUAACAUUCAAAUUGUUGCAUCCAAUCAGAAUGUGGGAUUCUUUUAAGCUUCAGAAACGGUCACUGCUAAAUAGCACACAAAAUCACUACUGAUAAAGAUCCGUCCACUAUAAAACUUGACGAACAGAAGGCAUUUUUGGGCAGGUUAAUUUUGAAAUAAAAUAUAGUGGAAUGGCUAGAGGACAGUUACGCAGCAAGCAAUUCAAUUUUCAUAACUGUCUUCAUGUCAAAAAGAUGUGGGGCUGGAAGGUAUGGUUUUCAAGAGGAAGUAUAGUCUUUUAAAUGGGAAACCUGAAUAGCCAUUCAAUUUUACACUCAAAUAGUAGUAAAGCAGCAACAACAAACACAUUGAUUUCAUACACGACAAUUUCAAGUUCUAAUAUAUGCGGCUCCAAAGGCUGAGUCUUCUUUUAAGUUUUAAACAUGUCAAAGGAGGCUCCACGGUCACAUAUUACAGUAUCAUGCAUUACUUUAAGUUUCCAUAUGAGAUGCAGACUCAGAAGGCCUUUAAUAUGGUUACAAAUAAGAUAAUGACCUGUAAUAUGAAGAGGCACAUCUGAUACCUUAAUAGCCUCUACAGUACCACAAAUCUGCCAACCCUAUUUAAUCACUUGAAUAAUAGCAUAUACAGGAAUGCCUAGAGCAAGCUAGAAUUGUAAAAUUUCUAUCUGACAGCUCCAUCACGAUAAUCUUGUAAAUUAUUAGAUUGAUUCAAAGCUACUAUAGAUUGCGUACACAUAUAAGUGAGAGAAGGCAUUUUUCUAGAGUUCUGGAAGUCCUAGAGUCUGAAGGCCAUUGUGUGCAAGUGCAGGAUAUGUAUUUCUUGUGAGGGGAUACAUCUAUGGGAGGCUAGCUGAAUCAUUUCUAUCUUAUUGAGUUCCUACGGCUAGUAAUUUUAACUAGAACUUCUGCAGAGUUACUGCUGAAUGUGUGAAGCACCUGUUCUUUUACAGAUAAAAACCAAGGAGUCAACUUGCAUUUCCACAAAAUAAAAUUAUUGAGAAAAAAUUUCUGAUUCAACUCCAGGAGUUAAUAUGUUAGCUACUAUAUUUGACAUGCCAAUCAGCUGUCCUUUAUGAUAGAAAGAUUUACUACAACGCUAGCAGAAAUUCUACAACCUUAGUAUGCACGGACUAAUUAUUGCGAAAAAUCCUACUGGCUGGUGUUUAACAAUAAGAUCAACCUUAGACUACACAGAUUCUGUUAAUUCAUUUUAGAAACAAAACAUGUUGCUGAGACCCUGGUAAGUAAAUAUAAACCCUCAGUUAAAUAGAUAAUCUAUGAUACCAAAUGACCAGAGGUAAAAUUGAGCAAGGGCUAUUCUCUGAUUUAUGUUGAUAUUUGUUAUUCUUAUCCAAUGCUUGUAAGUUUGUAACAAGGAUGCUUUAACCAUAUUAGGAGAGUGUAAACCUGGUUGGCUAGCACGGGUAGUAGGUUGCUUAGCCAACCUUUUAAACCACAUGAAAUUCCCAGAAAACUGGCUUUGCAUAUUCACAUUAAGAGGUGGACAAGUAUCCUUUUAACACGAUGGAGUAAAUUUGUCAUUUCAUUUCAUUCAUUCCAUUGAAGGGUCUACCACUCUACUAUAAAUAAAUGAAAAUCUCACUUAUGAAUUAAAGAAAAACAAUAAAUGCUACAUGUCCUGUACUAUGUCCCUCCAGCGUUAGUUAUACAUUUUUCUAAAGCAUAAUAUGAAAGGUAUUAUAAACUAAUCAAUAUAUUCCAUUCAAUCAACCGAUCAUCAAGAGAUCAACAAUGCCUCAAUCCUAAACUAGUAGGAUUAGAUAAAUGAACAUUAUGUGUCUAUUCUACUCUAUCGGGCUUAUUCCAUUCCAAUACUAGUAAGUACUGUGUUUUCAGGCAAAUCGAAAUUUCUCUAAAACUAGAGGUUCUCUUAUUUGUACUUGAACAAUACUAGUACACGUCUCCAGACAAACUACAAAGACAUUUGACAAACAUCUGAUCUGAUGUAAGUACAACAACAACUAAGAAUUAGUCUCAAGUAGUUGGUACAGUCUAUGUGAGUCCUUUGUUCCAUUAUGUUCUAUUAAUAAUAAGUCUGCAUUAUUUGGAUAAACUAUAGGUCUUUUAAAUUAACUUUUCUCCAUGUGAUUUUAAAACUAAAUCAUCCCCAUUAAGCACAUAUUGGACUUCAUAGGAGUUAGGACAGGGCGAAACCUACUCAUCCUAUACUGUGUUCCUUCUAUUUUAGUAAUCAAAAUAAAGGAAAAAAUGUUCUCCAUUUUUCCAAGCACACUUUGAAGUUCAAGAUAAUCUAAAGUAGCACCUCAUACUUUAGACAGAGUCCCACGUCGGCAAAAUACAAGAGAGAUGGUGGGUAUAUAAGUUAACAAGCCUUAGACCCUAGUGACGCGUUUUAAACCCAUGAAGGCCUAGGCCUAAAGCGGACAAUAUCACUAACGGGCUGGAUUGUUACAAAUGGUAUCAGAGCCAACUCUUGUGUCAGCCUUGUCGAUGGUGGGUCAGAGUUCAACUUAGUUUAGGCAAAUCCCGGUUAGCUGGGGCAAACCUCAGUGCUGAGUCUAGGCGAAUCCCAGGGUAUGUAACACCCCAUACUUUAGACAGAGUCUCACAUAGCACCCCACACUUUAGACAGAGACUCGGCAAAACACAAGAGGGAUACUGGGUAUAUAAGUUAACAAGUCUUAGACCCUAGUGACGCAUUUUAACCUGUGAGGUCCUAGGCCUAGAACGAACAAUAUCACUAGCGGGCUGGGCUGUUACGUCUAACAAAUGUAUUCACAAAAAUUACUACACUUGCAAUCAGCAGCUAACUUUGAGUAAUUCAGUCAAUUCUACAAAAUGGAAUCUUUAAAAGAUAAUCAUACUAAAUACCCCAUUUGCAAUUUUUCUGUAUAUUUUGAGAAAUUCACUCAAACCCAAUUCAAGAAACACCAAAAUAAGUUCAAAAAACUAAGCUUUUCAAAGAAAGAAUGGAUUUGUCUUUGUGGUGGGGGGGGGGGGGGGUUACCGUCACGACGAGAGAGCUCAGCUUUCCAAGCAGCUUCACGCUCAGCAACUUCACGUUCACGCUCCUNN